RNAcentral lists this ribosomal RNA (1020 nucleotides) under Lactobacillus sp. Sc15. RNAcentral's name for it is "bacterial SSU rRNA". It matches the Rfam family "Bacterial small subunit ribosomal RNA", at positions 458 to 1476 of the family's 1533-position model. Lineage: Bacteria; Bacillati; Bacillota; Bacilli; Lactobacillales; Lactobacillaceae. The record is from RNAcentral.
GUUGUUCGGCGUGGACGGUAUCCAACAGAAAGCCACGGCUAACUACGUGCCAGCAGCCGCGGUAAUACGUAGGUGCCAGCCGUUAUCCGGGAUUUAUUGGGCGUAAAAGCGAGCGCAGGCGGUUUUUUAAGUCUGAUGUGAAAGCCCUCGGCUUAACCGAGGAAGUGCAUCGGAAACUGGGAAACUUGAGUGCAGAAGAGGACAGUGGAACUCCAUGUGUAGCGGUGAAAUGCGUAGAUAUAUGGAAGAACACCAGUGGCGAAGGCGGCUGUCUGGUCUGUAACUGACGCUGAGGCUCGAAAGCAUGGGUAGCGAACAGGAUUAGAUACCCUGGUAGUCCAUGCCGUAAACGAUGAAUGCUAGGUGUUGGAGGGUUUCCGCCCUUCAGUGCCGCAGCUAACGCAUUAAGCAUUCCGCCUGGGGAGUACGACCGCAAGGUUGAAACUCAAAGGAAUUGACGGGGGCCCGCACAAGCGGUGGAGCAUGUGGUUUAAUUCGAAGCAACGCGAAGAACCUUACCAGGUCUUGACAUCUUUUGAUCACCUGAGAGAUCAGGUUUCCCCUUCGGGGGCAAAAUGACAGGUGGUGCAUGGUUGUCGUCAGCUCGUGUCGUGAGAUGUUGGGUUAAGUCCCGCAACGAGCGCAACCCUUAUGACUAGUUGCCAGCAUUUAGUUGGGCACUCUAGUAAGACUGCCGGUGACAAACCGGAGGAAGGUGGGGAUGACGUCAAAUCAUCAUGCCCCUUAUGACCUGGGCUACACACGUGCUACAAUGGAUGGUACAACGAGUUGCGAGACCGCGAGGUCAAGCUAAUCUCUUAAAGCCAUUCUCAGUUCGGACUGUAGGCUGCAACUCGCCUACACGAAGUCGGAAUCGCUAGUAAUCGCGGAUCAGCACGCCGCGGUGAAUACGUUCCCGGGCCUUGUACACACCGCCCGUCACACCAUGAGAGUUUGUAACACCCGAAGCCGGUGGCGUAACCCUUUAGGGAGCGAGCCGUCUAAGUGACAAAGAUUGCU